Lontra canadensis (Northern American river otter) is the source of this 746-nucleotide long non-coding RNA. RefSeq lists it as uncharacterized. The transcript has 2 exons. The record is from RefSeq and is a predicted model, not a curated record. NCBI's taxonomy places the organism in Eukaryota, Metazoa, Chordata, Mammalia, Carnivora, Mustelidae.
GCACACCUAGCUUGUUUCCACGCUGCUCGUGUGUAGUCUGCAGUGAACGCUCCAAGAUCCUGAUUUCAACUUCCUUGGGAGAACUGCAAACUCUUUCCUUCAGAACCAACCUGGAGAGCUCAGGUGCGGGUCCAGCUGCACUAAACCCAUCAUCAAACAUAGCCUUGUUAAUCACGUCAAAGUUGCCACCUAUUAAGAUCAAGACCUCUGUAUUUAUUCUGGGUGAAAUGCAAUGUGAUUUACCUCGAGAAUUUGCUGGUAAAGGGUCACUCCAUUUGUCAGACUGUUUAGAAUCCCAUUUUGGAAAUCUGGGAUGUUAUCAAAAUUUCUAAAAAUGGUCCUUGAGAAUCCGAGUCCUGUCUGACACCCACCAUGAAAUGGAGCCAGACUGAUUUUGCUCUCCAGCUCAGAUUUGCAGGAGUUGGCUGAGAGUCACCUGAAAUGACGUCCCUUUGGAGGAAGGGGUGGUACUGAAGGUCACCUUUUCUGAAAUUGGAAAAUGUUUGCAUGUUUUUGCUAAAACAAAUGAUCAGAAAUAAUUUCUUGUGUGUAAAAUGGAAAGAAAAAGUAAUUUUUAAUCAACUCAGGUGAUUGAUGUGUUUAUAGUGAAGAAGGUGUGACCACUCGCUCAGUGGAAAUAAAAUUCUCAGUUUUGUGCUCAGCAAUGGAGAAAAGCAAUUUCUGGCUCUUAAUGUUUUUCCCCCAAUAACUUGGAGUAAAAGAAAAUGCAUUGGUAAAUAAUGAAA